Molecule: ribosomal RNA, 506 nt
Filed under: uncultured bacterium
Lineage: Bacteria
Description: partial 16S ribosomal RNA
Rfam family: Bacterial small subunit ribosomal RNA
Source: RNAcentral
AUUGAACGCUGGCGGCAGGCCUAACACAUGCAAGUCGAACGGUAACAGGAAACAGCUUGCUGUUUCGCUGACGAGUGGCGGACGGGUGAGUAAUGUCUGGGAAACUGCCUGAUGGAGGGGGAUAACUACUGGAAACGGUAGCUAAUACCGCAUAACGUCGCAAGACCAAAGAGGGGGACCUUCGGGCCUCUUGCCAUCGGAUGUGCCCAGAUGGGAUUAGCUAGUAGGUGGGGUAACGGCUCACCUAGGCGACGAUCCCUAGCUGGUCUGAGAGGAUGACGAGCCACACUGGAACGGAGACACGGUCCAGACUCCUACGGGAGGCAGCAGUGGGGAAUAUUGCACAAUGGGCGCAAGCCAGAUGCAGCCAUGCGGCGUGUAUGAAGAAGGCCUUCGGGUUGUAAAGUACUUUCAGCGGGGAGGAAGGGAGUAAAGUUAAUACCUUUGCUCAUUGACGUUACCCGCAGAAGAAGCACCGGCUAACUCCGUGCCAGCCGCCGCCGUAA